AUUGAACGCUGGCGGCAGGCUUAACACAUGCAAGUCGAGCGGGGGAAGGUAGCUUGCUACCGGACCUAGCGGCGGACGGGUGAGUAAUGCUUAGGAAUCUGCCUAUUAGUGGGGGACAACAUCUCGAAAGGGAUGCUAAUACCGCAUACGUCCUACGGGAGAAAGCAGGGGAUCUUCGGACCUUGCGCUAAUAGAUGAGCCUAAGUCGGAUUAGCUAGUUGGUGGGGUAAAGGCCUACCAAGGCGACGAUCUGUAGCGGGUCUGAGAGGAUGUCCCGCCACACUGGGACUGAGACACGGCCCAGACUCCUACGGGAGGCAGCAGUGGGGAAUAUUGGACAAUGGGGGGAACCCUGAUCCAGCCAUGCCGCGUGUGUGAAGAAGGCCUUAUGGUUGUAAAGCACUUUAAGCGAGGAGGAGGCUACUCUAGUUAAUACCUAGGGAUAGUGGACGUUACUCGCAGAAUAAGCACCGGCUAACUCUGUGCCAGCCGCCGCCGUAA
RNAcentral lists this ribosomal RNA (501 nucleotides) under uncultured bacterium. Its description in RNAcentral is "partial 16S ribosomal RNA". It matches the Rfam family "Bacterial small subunit ribosomal RNA", at positions 30 to 523 of the family's 1533-position model. The record is from RNAcentral.